CCUACGGGAGGCAGCAGUGGGGAAUAUUGCACAAUGGGGGAAACCCUGAUGCAGCGACGCCGCGUGAGUGAAGAAGUAUUUCGGUACGUAAAGCUCUAUCAGCAGGGAAGAAAAUGACGGUACCUGACUAAUAAGCCCCGGCUACCUACGUACCAGCAGCCGCGGUCAUACGGAGGGGGCACGCGUUAUCCGGAUUUACUGGGUGUAAAGGGGGCGUAGACGGCAGCGCAAGUCUGGAGUGAAAUCCCAUGGCUUAACCAUGGAACUGCUUUGGAAACUGGGGAGCUAGAGUGCAGGAGAGGUAAGCGGAAUGCGUAGUGUAGCGGUGAAAUGCGUAGAUAUUAGGAGGAACACCAGUGGCGAAGGCGGCUUACUGGACUGUAACUGACGUUGAGGCUCGAAAGCGUGGGGAGCAAACAGGAUUAGAUACCCCUGUAGUC
RNAcentral lists this ribosomal RNA (440 nucleotides) under uncultured bacterium. Its description in RNAcentral is "partial 16S ribosomal RNA". It matches the Rfam family "Bacterial small subunit ribosomal RNA", at positions 338 to 795 of the family's 1533-position model. The record is from RNAcentral.